UUAAAGAAAUCAUCGUCAAGUCGGAGGAAGAGAUGGAUGAUCAUCGCAGACUGCUGGAUUUCUCCCGGAGGCCCCAGAUAAUCUUACACCGAAUAGGUUUCAUAAAGACCAUGUGAGGAAGAAGUGGGGAAUGUCUUUAAGGAGAGACGGAUUCACUGCACUGAUGAAUCUCAGCUGCUGAAUCUCUCUUAAGCUCCUCCUCGGCUG
Xiphophorus hellerii (green swordtail) is the source of this 207-nucleotide long non-coding RNA. RefSeq lists it as uncharacterized. NCBI's taxonomy places the organism in Eukaryota, Metazoa, Chordata, Actinopteri, Cyprinodontiformes, Poeciliidae. The record is from RefSeq and is a predicted model, not a curated record. The transcript has 2 exons.